UACGUAGGGUGCGAGCGUUGUCCGGAAUUAUUGGGCGUAAAGGGCUCGUAGGCGGUUUGUCGCGUCGGGAGUGAAAUCAUCUGGCUUAACUGGGUGCUUGCUUUCGAUACGGGCAGGCUAGAGUUCGGUAGGGGAGACUGGAAUUCCUGGUGUAGCGGUGAAAUGCGCAGAUAUCAGGAGGAACACCGGUGGCGAAGGCGGGUCUCUGGGCCGAUACUGACGCUGAGGAGCGAAAGCGUGGGGAGCGAACAGG
This 253-nucleotide ribosomal RNA is filed under the name uncultured bacterium. Its description in RNAcentral is "partial 16S ribosomal RNA". It matches the Rfam family "Bacterial small subunit ribosomal RNA", at positions 524 to 776 of the family's 1533-position model. The record is from RNAcentral.